This 162-nucleotide ribosomal RNA is filed under the name uncultured bacterium. RNAcentral's name for it is "partial 16S rRNA". It matches the Rfam family "Bacterial small subunit ribosomal RNA", at positions 355 to 511 of the family's 1533-position model. The record is from RNAcentral.
UAGGGAAUCUUCCACAAUGGGCGAAGCUGAUGGAGCAACGCCGCGUGAGUGAAGAAGGGUUUCGGCUCGUAAAGCUCUGUUGUUAAAGAAGAACACGUAUGAGAGUAACUGUUCAUACGUUGACGGUAUUUAACCAGAAAGUCACGGCUAACUACGUGCCAC